CCCGGCUUAAAUCCACGAGCACACUCCCCAUCCCGAAUUCGCACGAGCCCCGUGCUCACCGCUCAAAACCCUCCCCCUUCCCCUCCGGGCUCCGGCGGCGGCGGCGCCUCUCCUCCGGCGAGGUUUCCUCCUCUACACCACAGGAAAACAUGGAUGUGCCUGUUGAGGACCCUGUGGAGAAUAACCUGGCUGGAACUUCUCCUACCCUUGGCAAUGAGGAACAAGCCAAUCCUUAUGCUAAUGUGCAAGAGAAGAUCGGUGAAGAGCCUGAAAAGCCGUAUGAUGGGGAAUCCAAAGACCCAACACCUCAUGAGUUGGGGAACUCUGAGCAUGCGGACGUGAACAAUGAAGUUGCGGGGGAUCUAAGCAAAGAGGGCCGAGCUACCCCCAUGCAGCAGGAGCCUGCAAAUGUCUCUGUUGGGGAAGCUGGGACAAAGCAGCAGGGUAUUGUGGUGCCUGAUGAACAGAAAUGGCCUGGGUGGCCUGGAGAAAGCGUGUUCCGUAUACUGGUUCCUGUCACAAAGGUGGGUGCUGUCAUCGGGCGAAAAGGAGAAUUCAUCAAGAAAAUGUGCGAGGAAUCCAAAGCUCGCAUUAAGGUCCUUGAGGGCCCACAAGGCGUGCCAGAAAGAGCUGUAAUGAUUUCAGCAAAGGAUGAACCAGAUGCGGAGCUACCUCCAGCUGUUGAUGGGUUGCUUAGAGUUCAUAAAAGGAUAGCUGAUGGUUUAGAUGUUGAAACCGAUCAGCCUCAACGAGUCACCGCUGGGCCCACAAGGCUACUGGUUCCAGCUUCCCAAGCUGGAAGCCUGAUUGGCAAGCAAGGAGGAACUAUUAAAUCCAUACAAGUCGCUUCAAAUUGUGCUCUCCGAAUUGUUGAGAAUGUUCCUCCUGUGGCAUUAAAUGAUGAUAGAGUUGUUGAGAUACAGGGUGAACCUCUUGAUGUUCACAAAGCCGUGGAGCUGAUUGCAAGUCAUUUGAGAAAAUUUCUUGUUGACCGCAGUGUUCUCCCUUUGUUUGAAUCCCAGAUGAAAGCGUAUUAUGUGCACAGAGAGCAACCUAUGCCACCUCCGCAGCCAUGGGGUCCCCCUCCACCCUCACCCUGGGGUCAUCCACCAAACCUUCCUCCUGGUGUCCCAGGUUAUAUUGGGAAUCCACAAUACAUGCCUCCACGACCACAAGACAACUAUUAUCCUCCUCCUGAUAUGCCCCCUGUAGAAAAGCAACCACACUAUGGAAUUUCUUCAUAUGGACGUGAUGCACCUCCAAGUGCUCCCUCAGGAAAUCAGCACCAUGCACAUGGGUCUUCUCAGGUGACACACAGCAUGCAAGUUCCUCUUUCCUAUGCAGAUGCUGUGAUUGGAGCAGCUGGUGCCAGCAUCAGCUACAUCCGCAGGCAUAGUGGCGCAACCAUAAGUAUCCAAGAAGGUGCUCCUGGGGAGAUGACAGUGGAGAUAACAGGAAGUGCCUCACAAGUACAAACUGCACAGCAGCUGAUCAAGAAUUUCAUAGCUGAAGCUUCUCCCCAGGGGCCGCCAGCUCCUGCUGCACCCGCUCAAUCAGUUGACACAGGCUACAGCUCUUCUUACCCACCAUACCGCGGAGCAUCAUACGGAUCUCCCCCAGGCAGCGCGGCUCCAGGCCCACACAAUGGAGGAAGCUAUGGCGCUGCACCGUAUCCGCCGAGCUACGGAUACUAGUCGGAGGGAAAACCUGGUUUCCUAGUUGCAGAUCUUGGGGAAAGGGGGGCAUUCUGGUUUUGUUUGCUAGUCGCCUAGUCUGUUCAUCUGUUGAGAACUUGAGAGGUCGUUAGGGUUUCUGAACUAGCUUGUGGUGUUGUAAGCUGCUUUCUGUUCCAAAGCCGAUUGUGUUAUGCGCGCACGCUCUUUCUUUCCUCUGUGGUUGCGUGAACUUACCAUUCCAUAUUCGCAAAAGGUAGCGGUCGUAGUAUUCCAAUGAUA
RNA transcript from Panicum virgatum (switchgrass), 1955 nucleotides. It is a transcript of the gene named flowering locus K homology domain-like, with no coding region annotated. NCBI's taxonomy places the organism in Eukaryota, Viridiplantae, Streptophyta, Magnoliopsida, Poales, Poaceae. The transcript has 7 exons. The record is from RefSeq and is a predicted model, not a curated record.